UGGGGAAUUUUGGACAAUGGGCGCAAGCCUGAUCCAGCAAUGCCGCGUGCAGGAUGAAGGCCUUCGGGUUGUAAACUGCUUUUGUACGGAACGAAACGGUUUUCUCUAAUACAGAGAGCUAAUGACGGUACCGUAAGAAUAAGCACCGGCUAACUACGUGCC
This 162-nucleotide ribosomal RNA is filed under the name uncultured bacterium. Its description in RNAcentral is "partial 16S ribosomal RNA". It matches the Rfam family "Bacterial small subunit ribosomal RNA", at positions 355 to 509 of the family's 1533-position model. The record is from RNAcentral.